CCUACGGGUGGCAGCAGUGAGGAAUAUUGGUCAAUGGACGAGAGUCUGAACCAGCCAAGUAGCGUGAAGGAUGACUGCCCUAUGGGUUGUAAACUUCUUUUAUAUGGGAAUAAAAUGUUCCACGUGUGGGAUUUUGUAUGUACCAUAUGAAUAAGGAUCGGCUAACUCCGUGCCAGCAGCCGCGGUAAUACGGAGGAUCCGAGCGUUAUCCGGAUUUAUUGGGUUUAAAGGGAGCGUAGGUGGAUUGUUAAGUCAGUUGUGAAAGUUUGCGGCUCAACCGUAAAAUUCCAGUUGAACCUGGCAGUCGUGAGUACAGUAGAGGUGGGCGGAAGUCGUGGUGUAGCGGUGAAAUGCUUAGAUAUCACGAAGAACUCCGAUUGCGAAGGCAGCUCACUGGACUGCAACUGACACUGAGGCUCGAAAGUGUGGGUAUCAAACAGGAUUAGAUACCCUUGUAGUC
Molecule: ribosomal RNA, 460 nt
Filed under: uncultured bacterium
Lineage: Bacteria
Description: partial 16S ribosomal RNA
Rfam family: Bacterial small subunit ribosomal RNA
Source: RNAcentral